UCUCCUUCUUCCCGGGCGCAGGCCUCGCCCGCACACACCUUUCCAGCCGCCGCCACCCCCGCCAUGCUUCCAGAGGCCGGAAAAACAAGGAAGACGACCCCCUGCACCAUGUGUGAUGUCUGAUGGAGGACUACAAAUGGAGUCACUAAAAGGAUCUAGUUUGAGGUACUAGGAAGGAUAAGACAUCACUUUGAAAAGAACCCCUGUCAGAGCAACGUGGAUUCUGCUAA
Galeopterus variegatus (Sunda flying lemur) is the source of this 230-nucleotide long non-coding RNA. RefSeq lists it as uncharacterized. The transcript has 3 exons. Lineage: Eukaryota; Metazoa; Chordata; Mammalia; Dermoptera; Cynocephalidae. The record is from RefSeq and is a predicted model, not a curated record.